UCAUUGAAUCUAUCGUGCCCACACUGCGAAAAUACUUAUGCCCUUCUGGAGUAGGCAGACUUUAUUGUUUGCUCUUCGGUUGCGCAGGUCAGGGGCUGGCUCCUUUUGGUGUCAGUUGACUUGACUGGGCGGGUCCAAUACCAGCCGGACCUCACUUUGCCUUCUAGGCUUGGGGUUCUGCCGGUUGUGAGGGGUGGCUGUUUAACCCACUUUAAGCAAUCAGUUCUGAAGGCAGAUCUAUUGGCUGGCUUUGCUGGCUGUAGACUGAUCAAUAAUAGACAACUCUCAACAACGGAUAUCUUGGCUCCCGUAACGAUGAAGAACGCAGCGAAAUGCGAUACGUAGUGUGAAUUGCAGAAUUCCGUGAACCAUCGAAUCUUUGAACGCAAAUUGCGCUCGAGGCCUCGGCCAAGAGCAUGUCUGCCUCAGCGUCGGCUACUACCCUCAACCAAGUUUCCUAUUUUUACUGGGGAUGUUUCUUGUUCUUAUUUGCGGUGUCUCCUAUGUCAAUAGGAGAUGUCCCUUAUUUUUAUGAGGGAUAUUACCUGUCCUUGAUAGGAAACGCCGGUUGGAUCUGGCUGUCCGGAUUGCCUUUCAGGUUGCCGGUCAGCUGAAAUAUAUUCACGCUCUGGAGGCUGCUUUCCUUUCGAGGAAAGGCGAGUUCCGAUUUGGUAGGUGACCUUUGCCGGUUACAUGCCUUCGUUGCCCGCUAGGUUUCCCAGUAUGCGUUGUACAGGACGCCUUUUGGCUUUCGACC
RNAcentral lists this ribosomal RNA (757 nucleotides) under Trebouxia gigantea. RNAcentral's name for it is "eukaryotic LSU rRNA". The stretch from base 281 to 434 matches the Rfam family "5.8S ribosomal RNA". Lineage: Eukaryota; Viridiplantae; Chlorophyta; Trebouxiophyceae; Trebouxiales; Trebouxiaceae. The record is from RNAcentral.